UCUCAUCAAAUUGUCUAUAUAAGCAUCUCUAUCUCUCUCUCUCUCUGUAUGGUUCAUGUGACUUGCUUGUCUAUUUGGCUGUUUCUUUGGUUCUUUCUUAUUCUUCCUCUCUUUCUACUUUUCUGUUCAUUUUGAAUAGUAUGGUGGUGGUGUUUAUUUGUUUUUCAGGUUUUUCGUUCAAAACAUCAUUGUUUGAUUUUAUGUAGUUUUAUUAAAUUCCUUGUUGAUACAUACAAUCAAAAUAAGAAUGUUUUUGUUUUUUGAGAAAAUGGUUCUAACCACUUCAAAACAACCAGUUUUCACUUUCAUGUCUUUAAUUAGUUUUCCAUACUUUAAAACGUUUCUUUCUUUAGUUUAUAUAUAUAUAUAUAUAUAGCUAGCAUCUCAUAGGUUAAUCUGUAUAAACAUGGAAAGAUCUUUCAGUACAUGCAAACGAUUGGGUACUUCGAAACAAUAUUUCUUUCUGUUAAUCUUUUACUUGCAGCUAUUAUGAUUAAUCUAUAUGAACAUGGAAUGAUCGAACGUUUCAGUAUAGAAAAAUGGUUGCAUACUUCCUUUUGUGAGCAGAAUGAUGGCAUCGUCUUCAAAACUAAUUUUCUGGAAUAUUCUCUAUUUCCUCCUCUCUGGUUUGGAAAUUUUAAAGAUUAUGAUGUAAUGGUAUGUUACUUGUUGGUUUUAGUCUAAACCUUAAGAAGUCAACAAUCGCAGGGGAGUUUCCGCAGCAUUCACAAGGUAAACAAAAGUUUUCACUAGUAGAUUAGUUUCAUUCAUAUUUAUUAGCAUCCAUGCAUGCAUGUAUACAUACAUAACAAGCAUAUAGUUUCCUCUUUUUUUUUUUCUUUUUGAUAAAGAGCACAUGGUUUUACAUCAAACGUUUAGAUGAAUAGAAAACUAAUGUAAAGAAAAAUAAAUAUACACAUGCAUAACAUGAAAUUCAUGUUCAUAUUAUAAGCAUGAACAAUAUAUAUAUAAUAGAGAUACGUGGAUUCCUGCACUUAACCCUGACUUUUCCAUAAAAAAAAAAAAACAAAACAACUUUGACUGUGGAUAUCUUUCCCUUGGUUGUGGUGAUGUGUGGGAAUAGGAUGGGUUUGUUUCAUGGUCUCUAUGCAUUAACCUGAUGGCUGCUUCAAUGAAUGUACUUUAAAUGCCUUUGAUGUCAACUCUUAAUUCAAUAUGUGUCAUGCAUUCCACAUGGAUGCAUGCAUGUCAUUUUCCAUAUUUUGAUGGUGGUAUAACUUUCUAAUACAGGAUGCAAAAGGGUGGAACCCUAGAUGAAAGAAGAUGACAGAAGAGAGAGAGCACAGCCUGACAUUGGCGAAAGAAGCGGGUUCGCUCUUGGGGGGAUUGUGCUCUCUUCUCUUUCUGUCAUCACCGUCUCUAGAGUUUUUGCCUGCGCUUUUUCUGAAGCCUUAGUCUUCUUUUGGUGCAUAUCACUUCCUGAUAUCAGCUGCUUUGCUCUUGCAUUCGCAGUCAUCCGAUCAAGGACUCGAGUCUUGGGCAGGUGGAAAGGAAGCCUCCAUGGCUGCAGUCCCAUGCGAUAAGUUGGUGGUGGUCGUGUUUGCUUGUUGUUUGUUCUUCUUCUUUUUUUCCCUCUCUCUUAUUUUUAAUGAAAACAAAAAUAAAAUUAAUAUUUGCUAUUUUGCUUUGAUAGAAACUUUUGUUUCUAAUUUAUUGAUCUUCUCUUUAUUUCUCUGUAAAAGCUGAACUGAGCAAGGUGUAUUAAUUUGUUAAAGAUGGAUCUGUGAAGGUGAAAUGGGAAGCAUCUACCAAUGGAGACAUGGAGUUGGUCGUGUAGUUUUAAGUUUUUAUCAGUAGCGAGUUAAAUUCCUCGGAUUGGGGUUAUUCUCAGGUGAACUUGUGCAUGUCCAACUUUUUAUAUAUCUUAUUGCCAGAUUAAUGUCUC
This is a non-coding RNA of Phoenix dactylifera (date palm), 1906 nucleotides long. The record is from RefSeq and is a predicted model, not a curated record. NCBI's taxonomy places the organism in Eukaryota, Viridiplantae, Streptophyta, Magnoliopsida, Arecales, Arecaceae.